GACGAACGCUGGCGGCGUGCUUAACACAUGCAAGUCGAACGGAAAGGCCCUGCUUUUGUGGGGUGCUCGAGUGGCGAACGGGUGAGUAACACGUGAGUAACCUGCCCUUGACUUUGGGAUAACUUCAGGAAACUGGGGCUAAUACCGGAUAGGAGCUCCUGCUGCAUGGUGGGGGUUGGAAAGUUUCGGCGGUUGGGGAUGGACUCGCGGCUUAUCAGCUUGUUGGUGGGGUAGUGGCUUACCAAGGCUUUGACGGGUAGCCGGCCUGAGAGGGUGAACAGCCACAUUGGGACUGAGAGACGGCCCAGACGCCUACGAGAGGCAGCAGUGGGGAGUAUUGCACAAUGGGCGGAAGCCUGAUGCAGCAACGCCGCGUGCGGGAUGACGGCCUUCGGGUUGUAAACCGCUUUCGCCUGUGACGAAGCGUGAGUGACGGUAAUGGGUAAAGAAGCACCGGCUAACUACGUG
RNAcentral lists this ribosomal RNA (468 nucleotides) under uncultured bacterium. Its description in RNAcentral is "partial 16S ribosomal RNA". It matches the Rfam family "Bacterial small subunit ribosomal RNA", at positions 28 to 507 of the family's 1533-position model. The record is from RNAcentral.